AUGCAAACACAGCAUGCCCUUUGCACAUCGUCAGAGCAGCUGAGUGCACAGGUGAAAGCCUGUGUUUUGCAGAUGCAUCUCAGUGCUUUCUCCUCUUCUCUGUUUCAAAUCCUGUCCCACUGGGGUGCAGAGAACAUUUUUAGAAGUCUCCUCAGCAUCUUGUUUGCGGUGACACCCUGGGAAAGCAGCGCUGUCUUUUCCUUCUGCUGGAGGGGUAUAAAGAUGAAGCUGGACUAAAAUUGAUGUCUUCGACCAGGACACUUAACAUUCAGAAGCCAAACCUACCAGCACAGGGAGUGAUA
Molecule: long non-coding RNA, 302 nt
Filed under: Parus major (Great Tit)
Lineage: Eukaryota; Metazoa; Chordata; Aves; Passeriformes; Paridae
Description: lncRNA (ENSPMJG00000012751.1)
Source: RNAcentral